GCACCUCUAGCUCAGUUGGUAGAGCACCUGACUCUUAAUCAGGGUGUCCAGAGUUCGAGCCUCUGGAGGUGCACCA
This 76-nucleotide transfer RNA is filed under the name Clostridiales bacterium. Its description in RNAcentral is "tRNA-Lys". It matches the Rfam family "tRNA". From Rfam's summary of the family: Transfer RNA (tRNA) molecules are approximately 80 nucleotides in length. RNAcentral also lists the same sequence under 1 other name. Lineage: Bacteria; Bacillati; Bacillota; Clostridia; Eubacteriales. The record is from RNAcentral.